RNAcentral lists this signal recognition particle RNA (96 nucleotides) under Deltaproteobacteria bacterium. RNAcentral describes it as "signal recognition particle sRNA small type". It matches the Rfam family "Bacterial small signal recognition particle RNA". From Rfam's summary of the family: The signal recognition particle (SRP) is a universally conserved ribonucleoprotein involved in the co-translational targeting of proteins to membranes. Archaeal SRP consists of a 7S RNA and homologues of the eukaryotic SRP19 and SRP54 proteins. The record is from RNAcentral. Lineage: Bacteria; Pseudomonadati; Myxococcota; Myxococcia.
CUUUGGGCCCUCUGUAAUAACCGCCCGUUAACCCCGUCAGAUCAGGAAUGAAGCAGCGGUCCGCGUCAGCGUUAUGUCAGGGGAAGUCUAGAGGCU